CCUACGGGUGGCAGCAGUGGGGAAUUUUGCGCAAUGCUGGUAACAGUGACGCAGCAACGCCGCGUGAAUGAUGAAGGUUUUCGGAUUGUAAAGUCCUUUUGUUAGAGAAGAUUAUGCCGGUAUGUAACGGAUAAUGACCUGCUAACACCGUGCCAGCCGCCGCGGUAAUACGAAGGGUGCAAGCGUUACUCGGAAUAGCUGGGCGUAAAGUGUGCGGAGGCUGGGUAAUAAGUCGCAUGUGAAAGCCGGGAGCUUAACUACAGAACUGCAUUUGAAACUGUGACUCUGGAGUGUUGGAGAGGUAGGUGGAAUUCUUGGUGUAGGGGUAAAAUGCGUAGAGAUCAAGAGGAAUACUCAUGGCGAAGGCGACCUGCUGGACCAUUACUGACGCUGAUGCACGAAGGCGUGGGGAGCAAACAGGAUUAGAUACCCUGGUAGUC
RNAcentral lists this ribosomal RNA (440 nucleotides) under uncultured bacterium. RNAcentral describes it as "partial 16S ribosomal RNA". It matches the Rfam family "Bacterial small subunit ribosomal RNA", at positions 338 to 795 of the family's 1533-position model. The record is from RNAcentral.